RNAcentral lists this ribosomal RNA (1455 nucleotides) under uncultured organism. RNAcentral's name for it is "SSU rRNA". It matches the Rfam family "Bacterial small subunit ribosomal RNA". The record is from RNAcentral.
UCGGCGUGCCUAAUACAUGCAAGUAGAACGCUGAAGAGAGGAGCUUGCUCUUCUUGGAUGAGUUGCGAACGGGUGAGUAACGCGUAGGUAACCUGCCUUGUAGCGGGGGAUAACUAUUGGAAACGAUAGCUAAUACCGCAUAACAAUAGGUGACACAUGUCAUUUAUUUGAAAGGGGCAAUUGCUCCACUACAAGAUGGACCUGCGUUGUAUUAGCUAGUAGGUGAGGUAACGGCUCACCUAGGCGACGAUACAUAGCCGACCUGAGAGGGUGAUCGGCCACACUGGGACUGAGACACGGCCCAGACUCCUACGGGAGGCAGCAGUAGGGAAUCUUCGGCAAUGGGGGCAACCCUGACCGAGCAACGCCGCGUGAGUGAAGAAGGUUUUCGGAUCGUAAAGCUCUGUUGUAAGUCAAGAACGAGUGUGAGAGUGGAAAGUUCACACUGUGACGGUAGCUUACCAGAAAGGGACGGCUAACUACGUGCCAGCAGCCGCGGUAAUACGUAGGUCCCGAGCGUUGUCCGGAUUUAUUGGGCGUAAAGCGAGCGCAGGCGGUUUGAUAAGUCUGAAGUUAAAGGCUGUGGCUCAACCAUAGUUCGCUUUGGAAACUGUCAAACUUGAGUGCAGAAGGGGAGAGUGGAAUUCCAUGUGUAGCGGUGAAAUGCGUAGAUAUAUGGAGGAACACCGGUGGCGAAAGCGGCUCUCUGGUCUGUAACUGACGCUGAGGCUCGAAAGCGUGGGGAGCGAACAGGAUUAGAUACCCUGGUAGUCCACGCCGUAAACGAUGAGUGCUAGGUGUUGGAUCCUUUCCGGGAUUCAGUGCCGCAGCUAACGCAUUAAGCACUCCGCCUGGGGAGUACGACCGCAAGGUUGAAACUCAAAGGAAUUGACGGGGGCCCGCACAAGCGGUGGAGCAUGUGGUUUAAUUCGAAGCAACGCGAAGAACCUUACCAGGUCUUGACAUCCCGAUGCUAUUUCUAGAGAUAGAAAGUUACUUCGGUACAUCGGUGACAGGUGGUGCAUGGUUGUCGUCAGCUCGUGUCGUGAGAUGUUGGGUUAAGUCCCGCAACGAGCGCAACCCCUAUUGUUAGUUGCCAUCAUUCAGUUGGGCACUCUAGCGAGACUGCCGGUAAUAAACCGGAGGAAGGUGGGGAUGACGUCAAAUCAUCAUGCCCCUUAUGACCUGGGCUACACACGUGCUACAAUGGUUGGUACAACGAGUUGCGAGUCGGUGACGGCAAGCUAAUCUCUUAAAGCCAAUCUCAGUUCGGAUUGUAGGCUGCAACUCGCCUACAUGAAGUCGGAAUCGCUAGUAAUCGCGGAUCAGCACGCCGCGGUGAAUACGUUCCCGGGCCUUGUACACACCGCCCGUCACACCACGAGAGUUUGUAACACCCGAAGUCGGUGAGGUAACCUUUUGGAGCCAGCCGCCUAAGGUGGGAUAGAUGAUUGG